Molecule: ribosomal RNA, 1166 nt
Filed under: Klebsiella pneumoniae
Lineage: Bacteria; Pseudomonadati; Pseudomonadota; Gammaproteobacteria; Enterobacterales; Enterobacteriaceae
Description: bacterial SSU rRNA
Rfam family: Bacterial small subunit ribosomal RNA
Source: RNAcentral
ACACAUGCAAGUCGAGCGGUAGCAACAGAGAGCUUGCUCUCGGGUGACGAGCGGCGGACGGGUGAGUAAUGUCUGGGAAACUGCCUGAUGGAGGGGGAUAACUACUGGAAACGGUAGCUAAUACCGCAUAACGUCGCAAGACCAAAGUGGGGGACCUUCGGGCCUCAUGCCAUCAGAUGUGCCCAGAUGGGAUUAGCUAGUAGGUGGGGUAACGGCUCACCUAGGCGACGAUCCCUAGCUGGUCUGAGAGGAUGACCAGCCACACUGGAACUGAGACACGGUCCAGACUCCUACGGGAGGCAGCAGUGGGGAAUAUUGCACAAUGGGCGCAAGCCUGAUGCAGCCAUGCCGCGUGUGUGAAGAAGGCCUUCGGGUUGUAAAGCACUUUCAGCGGGGAGGAAGGCGGUGAGGUUAAUAACCUCGUCGAUUGACGUUACCCGCAGAAGAAGCACCGGCUAACUCCGUGCCAGCAGCCGCGGUAAUACGGAGGGUGCAAGCGUUAAUCGGAAUUACUGGGCGUAAAGCGCACGCAGGCGGUCUGUCAAGUCGGAUGUGAAAUCCCCGGGCUCAACCUGGGAACUGCAUUCGAAACUGGCAGGCUAGAGUCUUGUAGAGGGGGGUAGAAUUCCAGGUGUAGCGGUGAAAUGCGUAGAGAUCUGGAGGAAUACCGGUGGCGAAGGCGGCCCCCUGGACAAAGACUGACGCUCAGGUGCGAAAGCGUGGGGAGCAAACAGGAUUAGAUACCCUGGUAGUCCACGCCGUAAACGAUGUCGAUUUGGAGGUUGUGCCCUUGAGGCGUGGCUUCCGGAGCUAACGCGUUAAAUCGACCGCCUGGGGAGUACGGCCGCAAGGUUAAAACUCAAAUGAAUUGACGGGGGCCCGCACAAGCGGUGGAGCAUGUGGUUUAAUUCGAUGCAACGCGAAGAACCUUACCUGGUCUUGACAUCCACAGAACUUUUCAAAGAUGGAUUGGUGCCUUCGGGAACUGUGAGACAGGUGCUGCAUGGCUGUCGUCAGCUCGUGUUGUGAAAUGUUGGGGUUAAGUCCCGCAACGAGCGCAACCCUUAUCCUUUGUUGCCAGCGGUUCGGCCGGGAACUCAAAGGAGACUGCCAGUGAUAAACUUGGAGGAAAGGGGGGGAUAAACCCCAAGUCAUCAUGGGCCCUU